This 252-nucleotide ribosomal RNA is filed under the name Salmonella enterica subsp. enterica serovar Kentucky. RNAcentral's name for it is "partial 23S ribosomal RNA". It matches the Rfam family "Bacterial large subunit ribosomal RNA", at positions 2680 to 2833 of the family's 2925-position model. Lineage: Bacteria; Pseudomonadati; Pseudomonadota; Gammaproteobacteria; Enterobacterales; Enterobacteriaceae. The record is from RNAcentral.
UGUUGAAACUCAGGAACAAAGCGACCGCGCUGAAAGUAUCGCGAAAGCCGUUGAUGGCGUAAAAAGUGUUAAAAACGAUCUGAAAGUUCAGUAAUUCGUCGUAAUUCGUCCUCCCGACGUUUGUCGGUGUUCGGGUUGUCAUGCCAAUGGCACUGCCCGGUAGCUAAAUGCGGAAGAGAUAAGUGCUGAAAGCAUCUAAGCACGAAACUUGCCCCGAGAUGAGUUCUCCCUGAGACUUAGAGUCUCCUGAAG